CAGCCGCCGCGGUAAUACGGAGGGGGCUAGCGUUGUUCGGAAUUACUGGGCGUAAAGCGCACGUAGGCGGCUUGGUAAGUUAGAGGUGAAAGCCCGGAGCUCAACUCCGGAAUUGCCUUUAAGACUGCCGAGCUAGCAGGUGAGAGAGGUAAGUGGAAUUCCGAGUGUAGAGGUGAAAUUCGUAGAUAUUCGGAAGAACACCAGUGGCGAAGGCGGCUUACUGGCUCAUACUGGACGCUGAGGUGCGAAAGCGUGGGGAGCAAACGGGAUUAGAUACCCGCGUAGUCCCUGUCUCUUAUAC
Molecule: ribosomal RNA, 301 nt
Filed under: uncultured bacterium
Lineage: Bacteria
Description: partial 16S ribosomal RNA
Rfam family: Bacterial small subunit ribosomal RNA
Source: RNAcentral